This 304-nucleotide unclassified non-coding RNA is filed under the name Hevea brasiliensis (rubber tree). The record is from RNAcentral. Lineage: Eukaryota; Viridiplantae; Streptophyta; Magnoliopsida; Malpighiales; Euphorbiaceae.
GUGGUGGAAUUUUUUUCUCCCAUUAUUGCCACUGUCUUUUAGAUAUACGGAAUAUGGGCUUUGUGCGAUGCAGCUUAGUCAUAUAAUUAAUUGUUCCUCGUAUGUAUCUGGAAUGGCAGUGCAUCUUUUAGCUUAUUAUUUAAUUUAAUAGAUGCAUUGUGAUUUUUUUUUCUCAGAUUCUUGUAUAAAAUUCUACUAGAUCUGUUGCAACAGACUACUAGUUUCUUAGAAGCAGAACCUUUCUGUAUAAGUGAUCUGAUAAUUGUUCAUUCAUAUCAUCAGAUUUGGGAUGCCUAUAAUGUGA